RNAcentral lists this unclassified non-coding RNA (228 nucleotides) under uncultured fungus. RNAcentral describes it as "sequence contains ITS1, 5.8S rRNA gene". The stretch from base 180 to 228 matches the Rfam family "5.8S ribosomal RNA", at positions 1 to 49 of the family's 154-position model. The record is from RNAcentral. Lineage: Eukaryota; Fungi.
UCUCCGUAGGUGAACCUGCGGAGGGAUCAUUACUGAGUGAGGGCUUCGGUCCGACCUCCAACCCUUUGUUUUAACCACACUUGUUGCUUCGGGGGCGACCCUGUCGCUUCGGCGGUGCGGCGCCCCCGGUGGCCAUUAAACACUGCAUCAUUGCGUCGGAGUUAAAGUAAAUUAAACAAAACUUUCAACAACGGAUCUCUUGGUUCCAGCAUCGAUGAGGAACGCAGC